AUUGAACGCUCGCGGGAUGCUUUACACAUGCAAGUCGAACGGCAGCGCGGACUUCGGUCUGGCGGCGAGUGGCGAACGGGUGAGUAAUGUAUCGGAACGUGCCCAGUAGCGGGGGAUAACUACGCGAAAGCGUAGCUAAUACCGCAUACGCCCUACGGGGGAAAGCAGGGGAUCGUAAGACCUUGCACUAUUGGAGCGGCCGAUAUCGGAUUAGCUAGUUUGUGAGGUAACGGCUCACCAAGGCGACGAUCCGUAGCUGGUUUGAGAGGACGACCAGCCACACUGGGACUGAGACACGGCCCAGACUCCUACGGGAGGCAGCAGUGGGGAAUUUUGGACAAUGGGGGCAACCCUGAUCCAGCCAUCCCGCGUGUGCGAUGAAGGCCUUCGGGUUGUAAAGCACUUUUGGCAGGAAAGAAACGUCGCGGGCUAAUACCCCGUGGAACUGACGGUACCUGCAGAAUAAGCACCGGCUAACUACGUG
Molecule: ribosomal RNA, 484 nt
Filed under: uncultured bacterium
Lineage: Bacteria
Description: partial 16S ribosomal RNA
Rfam family: Bacterial small subunit ribosomal RNA
Source: RNAcentral